UACUACUACUAAAUGUGGUUAAAAUCAAACUAACACAUUAGAAAAUUUAAUAAUUUGAAAUAAUUUGUUCUAUUAAUUCAUUUUCUCCUUGUUUAGUUUUGUAAAUAUUAUUUUUUUGUAAAGUAAAUUUUUUUAACUUUUUUUAAUGAAUUUUUUAAUACAAUAGCAAUUUGAAAUUGAUUAUGUACCUAGUUUUGAGAGCUCUAAAACUCUCAAAAUGUCUGAAAAAGACAAUUAGCUCUUUCAAAACUGAAUAGUAACAAUUUUAUAUCUGAUCUAAAAAUCAGAUAAUAUUCCAAAGUCUUUUAAAAUUAAACCGAGUUUAUUUUUAAAAUUUUAUAACUUUUAGUUAUAAAAAACUCUAAAAUUGUUAAAAUACCUUAAGAUAUAUUAUCUAAAUAG
Molecule: unclassified non-coding RNA, 402 nt
Filed under: Mesomycoplasma ovipneumoniae
Lineage: Bacteria; Bacillati; Mycoplasmatota; Mycoplasmoidales; Metamycoplasmataceae
Also listed under: 7 other names
Description: Mycoplasma ovipneumoniae partial 16S-23S ribosomal RNA intergenic spacer
Source: RNAcentral